UACGUAGGCAGCGAGCGUUGUUCGGAGUUACUGGGCGUAAAGGGUGUGUAGGCGGUUUUCUAAGUUUGGUGUGAAAUCUCCCGGCUCAACCGGGAGGGUGCGCCGAAAACUGGGAGACUAGAGUGCGGGAUGGGAGAGUAGAAUUCCUGGUGUAGCAGUGAAAUGCGUAGAUAUCAGGAGGAAUACCGGUGGUGCAGACGGCUCUCUGGACCGCAACUGACGCUGAGACACGAAAGCGUGGGUAGCAAACAGG
This 253-nucleotide ribosomal RNA is filed under the name uncultured bacterium. RNAcentral describes it as "partial 16S ribosomal RNA". It matches the Rfam family "Bacterial small subunit ribosomal RNA", at positions 524 to 776 of the family's 1533-position model. The record is from RNAcentral.